RNAcentral lists this ribosomal RNA (490 nucleotides) under uncultured bacterium. RNAcentral describes it as "partial 16S ribosomal RNA". It matches the Rfam family "Bacterial small subunit ribosomal RNA", at positions 30 to 507 of the family's 1533-position model. The record is from RNAcentral.
AUUGAACGCUGGCGGCAGGCCUAACACAUGCCAGUCGAACGGUAACAGGAAACAGCUUGCUGUUUCGCUGACGAGUGGCGGACGGGUGAGUAAUGUCUGGGAAACUGCCUGAUGGAGGGUGAUAACUACUGGAAACGGUAGCUAAUACCGCAUAACGUCGCAAGACCAAAGAGGGGGACCUUCGGGCCUCUUGCCAUCGGAUGUGCCCAGAUGGGAUUAGCUAGUAGGUGGGGUAACGGCUCACCUAGGCGACGAUCCCUAGCUGGUCUGAGAGGAUGACCAGCCACACUGGAACUGAGACACGGUCCAGACUCCUACGGGAGGCAGCAGUGGGGAAUAUUGCACAAUGGGCGCAAGCCUGAUGCAGCCAUGCCGCGUGUAUGAAGAAGGCCUUCGGGUUGUAAAGUACUUUCAGCGGGGAGGAAGGGAGUAAAGUUAAUACCUUUACUCAUUGACGUUACCCGCAGAAGAAGCACCGGCUAACUCCGUG